Molecule: non-coding RNA, 1084 nt
Organism: Callithrix jacchus (white-tufted-ear marmoset)
Lineage: Eukaryota; Metazoa; Chordata; Mammalia; Primates; Cebidae
Source: RefSeq, a predicted model, not a curated record
CACACACACACACACACACACACACACAAGCAUAUUGAUAUUGAAUCACCCACUGUAUGGUAAUAUGUUUCUAUUUGCGCCCAAUCAUUGGUGCAAAACAGUCACCUGAUAAGAAAGAAGUUUUUAAUCCAUAUUGUCAUCAAUGGAACUUCGCAACAUUCUAACAAGUCACAUAAUGACUGAGAACAAGCUAGCCUUCUAUUCAUAGGUUGAAUUCCUUAAAUCACAACUUUUUGACCCAAAGUAUAUUGGUCCAGGCCACCAAUAAAUCAUAAAAAUAUCCAGUAUAUUAUAUCAUGUCAAGAUGGAAAUAGUGCCCAUUUCAAAUGAACCAAGUGGUCGAACCUCACUGUCCAUCCUACAUAAAACCCACUGAGAGCAAUGAAGAAACUGUCGUUGUUGAUAUCCUGAUAAGAGAAUGCUGGAGUUAUCACCAUGCACAUUACCAGGACUUGCAGAAAUGGAGUCAACCCUGAAAGAAAUCAGGUGGAAAACCGAAUACGAAUCUCAGGAUAAAUCCUUUCUGUUGGCAGGAGCUGGAAGGAGGAGAAGAAGGAAGAGAGGAAAAAAAGAAGAAGGAAGAGGAGAGUUUUGGAAGAAAUGGUGUGGCUCUUUGAUGAUUUGUUUGUGUUAUCCCAUGUAAACACAAUACUACAGGAUUAUUCAAGAUGUCAGAACUAGCCACGUCCAGGGCAGGUUUAAGGACUAUAGGACGAAACACUGUCCCUAAACUACACCCCUCCUCCUCUGAGUGCUGCCUGAAAUCCUGCCACCUGCUGCAGAUGAGAUUCAUGUCAAGGACAAUUCCACCGAUCAUCCAAAAGAAUGAAGAGACUCUUUCAUCAAGGGCUAAGAAAUUAUCCUAAGAAUUUAAACUACUCUGAGAUCACUGGUAAAAAUCCCAAUUUUUGUUUCAUAAAAAUACAGGGGAAAUUGUGUACUUGAGCUUUCUGGGCAUUUGUUUGUAAUAAAUUGAAGCAUUUAGUAACUUUAAGGUGAAAUGCCUGUACGUGCAGGCUGAUGUACUGUGUGACCUAUUUAUAUUUAAAAGCAGAAUAUGAUAUAAAAUAUUUAGCUUUUAAGA